CCCUGGGAAAUGAUCUACACAAAAGAAUAAGAAAUGAAAGCUGCCUCUGCCAUCUUCUGUUUAAUUAACACAGGUUCUUGAUGCUAAAGGUCUGACCUUAAAAUGAGCAGUGCACGGGGAAGACAGCCAGAACAGUUACUGGAGUGAGCUCCUGGCUUUCAACCCUUCCAAAUACAGCUAUUUGAGUAGCCAGUGCAGUAUAUCCACGAUGCAAGCUUGUUGCCCAGUUCCUGCUCACAACCAGGGAACGGCUGUAAGUCAAUGGAAAAAAAGAACAACGAGAAGUGCAAUCGCAGCCUCUGCUUGUGGUAUGACAGACUAUGCAGGCUCUGGGACUACCAUGCCAUCCUAUUCUACUCUGCUUUCAGGCUGCAAUUAGAAGUUGCAUUGGGAAGAAGCAACUUCCAUGCAAAGAUGUGGAUGGAACAUGAAUACUAUUCCAGUGUUAGUUUUUGGUGUCGAUUCCCAACUUAUAAAGAGAAGACGACUGCAAACGGCAAUAUCCUGGCAUUCAAGACAARUUCAGAGCGUUGUAAGCUGACGACCCAGUGCCAAAUAUGUAGGUGGUCUUCAGUCCACUUACUAGUGGAUAAGUGUUCUUUUUGUCACAAGUAUCUGCAGUCUUGUCAGUUGACUCAGCAGAAAGGUCUCGGAUUGACUGAACAUCAAGACAACUAUCUUUCUAUUCUGGCAGAUGUGAUGGAUGAAUCUGUUUUGUUGACCUAGGCCUGUCUAAAAGUGCUCCUCCUCAGCCCGUUCCAGGUAUGUGCACAGUAUAAAAACCUGGCCCUCAUCUUUAUAUUGGUAAAGGCAUUAAAUUGGAUAAUUAGACAAAAACUGCUUUCCUCCACAACUUCAGUUAAACAAAAAAUGUACCAGAUGUGAAAUCUAAGUAAUAAGAAAAGCAUUUAUGUUCCAGGAGCAAGAUAUAAUAGUCAACUGUAAAGGAAAAUAAAAUUACUGCAAAGUAAUUAGUGUGUCUGCCU
This 986-nucleotide long non-coding RNA is filed under the name Dromaius novaehollandiae (emu). RNAcentral's name for it is "lncRNA (ENSDNVG00000001793.1)". Lineage: Eukaryota; Metazoa; Chordata; Aves; Casuariiformes; Dromaiidae. The record is from RNAcentral.